Molecule: small RNA, 28 nt
Filed under: Bombyx mori (domestic silkworm)
Lineage: Eukaryota; Metazoa; Arthropoda; Insecta; Lepidoptera; Bombycidae
Description: ovarian small RNA-7787
Source: RNAcentral
UCUGGACACGGUUAUCCGAUGGAUUAGC